CAAAACCAAUACAAACAUAGGGAGAAAAUACAAAGAAACAUUUUAUUUUGUCCAGGUCUUGAUUAGUCCAAGUGAGUGUUGGGAAGGGUCUUUAUUAGUCCAGGUUAGUGUUGGGAAGGGUCUUGAUUAGUCCAGGUGAGUGUUGGGAAGGGUCUUGAUUAGUCCAGGUGAGCAUUGGGAAGGGUCUUGAUUAGUCUCUGAGUGUUGGGAAGGGUCUCGAUUAGUCCUAGUGAGUGUUGGGAAGGGUCUCGAUUAGUCCUAGUGAAUGUUGUGAAGGGUCUUGAUUAGUCCAGGUGAAUGUUGUGAAGGGUCUUAAUUAGUCCAGAUGAGUGUAUUGAAAGGUAUUGAUUAGUCCUGGUGGGUGUUACGAGGGGUCUUGGUUAGUCCUGGUGGGUUUUGAAAGGCAGCAGUAUGUUGUAUAGUCUCC
This is a long non-coding RNA of Ictalurus punctatus (channel catfish), 427 nucleotides long. Lineage: Eukaryota; Metazoa; Chordata; Actinopteri; Siluriformes; Ictaluridae. The record is from Ensembl.